RNAcentral lists this ribosomal RNA (436 nucleotides) under Babesia microti. RNAcentral's name for it is "SSU rRNA". It matches the Rfam family "Eukaryotic small subunit ribosomal RNA", at positions 439 to 901 of the family's 1831-position model. Lineage: Eukaryota; Apicomplexa; Aconoidasida; Piroplasmida; Babesiidae. The record is from RNAcentral.
AAUUACCCAAUCCUGACACAGGGAGGUAGUGACAAGAAAUAACAAUACAGGGCUUAAAGUCUUGUAAUUGGAAUGAUGGGAAUCUAAACCCUUCCCAGAGUAUCAAUUGGAGGGCAAGUCUGGUGCCAGCAGCCGCGGUAAUUCCAGCUCCAAUAGCGUAUAUUAAAGUUGUUGCAGUUAAGAAGCUCGUAGUUGAAUUUCUGCCUUGUCAUUAAUCUCGCUUCCGAGCGUUUUUUUAUUGACUUGGCAUCUUCUGGAUUUGGUGCAUUCGGGUACUAUUUUCCAGGAUUUACUUUGAGAAAACUAGAGUGUUUCAAACAGGCGUUCGCCUUGAAUACUACAGCAUCGAAUAAUGAAGUAGGACUUUGGUUCUAUUUUGUUGGUUAUUGAGCCAGAGUAAUGGUUAAUAGGAGCAGUUGGGGGCAUUCGUAUUUAA